RNAcentral lists this non-coding RNA (23 nucleotides) under Cricetulus griseus (Chinese hamster). The record is from RNAcentral. Lineage: Eukaryota; Metazoa; Chordata; Mammalia; Rodentia; Cricetidae.
UACUAACGGAAGAGCUACUGUUU